CCAGGCUUCCAGCUGCCUGCUCCAUGAAUAGCUGAGGAAGCCCAGAACUAGACCUCUGCCAGGACUCAGACCUCAGGUAAGGGAAGAGGCAAGUCUUCUAGACUCUAAGACACCCACAUGGCAAUCCAGAAUGGCUGCACCACACAGGGCUAUUGGACUGAUUAUUUUGGCUGAAUUAUCUGUUGGACUCCUUUUAUAAUGACAG
Molecule: long non-coding RNA, 205 nt
Filed under: Monodelphis domestica (gray short-tailed opossum)
Lineage: Eukaryota; Metazoa; Chordata; Mammalia; Didelphimorphia; Didelphidae
Description: lncRNA (ENSMODG00000042985.1)
Source: RNAcentral